RNAcentral lists this ribosomal RNA (441 nucleotides) under uncultured bacterium. RNAcentral's name for it is "partial 16S ribosomal RNA". It matches the Rfam family "Bacterial small subunit ribosomal RNA", at positions 338 to 795 of the family's 1533-position model. The record is from RNAcentral.
CCUACGGGUGACAGCAGUGGGGAAUAUUGCACAAUGGGGGAAACCCUGAUGCAGCAACGCCGCGUGAAGGAAGACGGUUUUCGGAUUGUAAACUUCUGUUCUUAGUGAAGAAUAAUGACGGUAGCUAAGGAGCAAGCCACGGCUAACUACGUGCCAGCAGCCGCGGGAAUACUUAGGUGGCAAGCGUUGUCCGGAAUUACUGGGUGUAAAGGAAGCGCAGGCGUGAAGCCAAGUCAGCGGUGAAAACUACGGGCUUAACUUGUAGAUUGCAGUUGAAACUGGUUUUCUUGAGUGAAGUAGAGGUUGGCGGAAUUCCGAGUGUAGCGGUGAAAUGCGUAGAUAUUCGGAGGAACACCGGUGGCGAAGGCAGCUUACUAAACUGCCACUGACAUUGAUGCUCGAAAGUGUGGGUAUCAAACAGGAUUAGAUACCCGGGUAGUC